CCUACGGGAGGCAGCAGUGGGGAAUAUUGCACAAUGGGGGAAACCCUGAUGCAGCGACGCCGCGUGAGUGAAGAAGUAUUUCUGUAUGUAAAGCUCUAUCAGCAGGGAAGAAGAAAGCCGGUACCUGACUAAGCCGCCCCGGCUAACUACGUGCCAGCAGCCGCGGUACUUCGUAGGGGGCAAGCGUUAUCCGGAUUUACUGGGUGUAAAGGGAGCGUAGACGGCUGUGCAAGGCUGAAGUGAAAGCCCAGGGCUCAACCCUGGGACUGCUUUGGAAACUGUGGAGCUAGAGUGCGGGAGAGGUAAGUGGAAUUCCUAGUGUAGCGGUGAAAUGCGUAGAUAUUAGGAGGAACACCAGUGGCGAAGGCGGCUUACUGGACAGUAACUGACGUUGAGGCUCGAAAGCGUGGGGAGCAAACAGGAUUAGAUACCCCAGUAGUC
Molecule: ribosomal RNA, 441 nt
Filed under: uncultured bacterium
Lineage: Bacteria
Description: partial 16S ribosomal RNA
Rfam family: Bacterial small subunit ribosomal RNA
Source: RNAcentral